AGAACGAACGCUGGCGGCAGGCCUAAUACAUGCAAGUCGAGCGCCCAGCAAUGGGAGCGGCGGACGGGUGAGCAACACGUGGGUAACCUGCCCGGAAGUGGGGAAUACCUCGGGGAAACUCGAGCUAAUACCGCAUGACAUCUUGGGACGAAAGUCCUGACGAUCAAAGCGGGGUCGCAAGAUCUCGCGCUACCGGAUGGGCCCGCGCCCCGAUUAGCUAGUUGGUGAGGUAACGGCUCACCAAGGCUUCGAUC
RNAcentral lists this ribosomal RNA (254 nucleotides) under uncultured bacterium. RNAcentral's name for it is "partial small subunit ribosomal RNA". It matches the Rfam family "Bacterial small subunit ribosomal RNA", at positions 26 to 281 of the family's 1533-position model. The record is from RNAcentral.